AAACAACUGCCACCGGGUAGUUUAUGCCAAAAGCAUUCGUACGCACAUCGUUAGGUCUUAGAAGAUGUGCAGAGCGGGUGCUUGUUUUUU
This 90-nucleotide non-coding RNA is filed under the name unclassified sequences. The record is from RNAcentral.